AUACGGAGGGUGCGAGCGUUGUUCGGAAUUACUGGGCGUAAAGCGGGUGUAGGCGGUGGAUCAAGUCAGAUGUGAAAGCCCUCGGCUCAACCGAGGAAGUGCAUCUGAAACUGGUUCACUAGAGUACGGGAGAGGAGAGUGGAAUUCCCAGUGUAGAGGUGAAAUUCGUAGAUAUUGGGAGGAACACCGGUGGCGAAGGCGGCUCUCUGGAACGAUACUGACGCUGAGACCCGAAAGCGUGCGGAGCAAACAGGAUUAGAAACCCUAGUAGUCC
This 274-nucleotide ribosomal RNA is filed under the name uncultured bacterium. RNAcentral's name for it is "partial 16S ribosomal RNA". It matches the Rfam family "Bacterial small subunit ribosomal RNA", at positions 523 to 796 of the family's 1533-position model. The record is from RNAcentral.